RNAcentral lists this ribosomal RNA (167 nucleotides) under uncultured bacterium. Its description in RNAcentral is "partial 16S rRNA". It matches the Rfam family "Bacterial small subunit ribosomal RNA", at positions 355 to 511 of the family's 1533-position model. The record is from RNAcentral.
UAGGGAAUCUUCGGCAAUGGGGGGCAAACCCUGACCGAGCAACGCCGCGUGAGUGAAGAAGGUUUUCGGAUCGUAAAGCUCUGUUGUAAGAGAAGAACGUGUGUGAGAGUGGAAAGUUCACACAGUGACGGUAACUUACCAGAAAGGGACGGCUAACUACGUGCCAA